Molecule: long non-coding RNA, 1640 nt
Filed under: Lytechinus variegatus (green sea urchin)
Lineage: Eukaryota; Metazoa; Echinodermata; Echinoidea; Temnopleuroida; Toxopneustidae
Description: uncharacterized LOC121418662
Source: RNAcentral
GUUUUGAUGAAAAUAGAUCUGAAAAUGGUUGAAAGUCUGAAAGUCUUUUAGUGACACUGAAUUUCUGUUGUAUUUCAUUGUUUUAUUCAACAUCCUGGGCCAUCACCCAUCAAAAAAAAAGAUGUAAUGACUCGGCCCACGCCUUGAUUGGGGAACUUUGCUGAUCUACACCUGCCCAAAAACCUGCACUGAAAGAGAACCAUACCAUCCAGAAGUCAUAUGGAAGCAAGACUAUCACAACUCAUCCAUCUCAUGAUGUCCUGUUCUCGUCAGACCAGAUUUAUGAACAGCCUCGGAAGACAAACAAAGUGUCUCAUCGGGAGAUUAUCGGUGCCCCUACACCUAGGCCAGGUGUGAUUUCUCUAUUGUGCCUCCUUUGUACAAUCUUAGUGACUUUACCAACCAACCAGCUUCUUUGCAUCCUCAUCCCUUGCCCUUGCAGCAGACGGUUGGCCGUAGAUCUCCAGAUCAGCUGAAGAUUGAUAAAGUUCAGGUGGCUUUUCCAGAUGCAUGGUAAAGGAUAGAACAAAGCGACAGAACCAAUUCCAGGUGGAUUAUUAAAGCAAACUGUGCGGGCUGCAGCUGGAACCAACAGACACGUACAAGGUCCACUCCACAAUUACAAGGACUACAGCUUCAUCAGCCGCUAGCAGUGAUAAUAUGCCAGUGAAACUCUAGGACAAAGUACAUCAACUAGGGUUUGUGUCAGCAGCAGUUGGACACCAAUGGAGACCGAGGAUGAAGCAGAUGGGUAGUUGAGAUAUUUUCCAUGAAAACAAAUCUGUUUACACACUCUUGGUCAGAUUAUCAUACCUGGCUCAUUGUGAUGUAAUUUCUAAAAGUCAUUACUUCAUAAUAUAGUAAGAUUAAAGAAGAACAAAGUAAGGGAAUAUACUAUGUCCCCUGCCUCUCACCCUAAGUGGUUUUCAAAACAGGUAUAGUUCUCAAUAAUCUUUCUUUUUGAAGUGACAGAUGUCAUGAUCUAAAUUACUCUUCUGAGAUUGAAGACAAGAUCUUUCAUACCCACUUGCUUGCUCUCAUUGUGAUGUAUCAGCUCCCUUAGGUUAGUUAUGAAGUAUUGACUAAACUUGAAAUGCUCAAUCAUACCAUUUUGUUUUAUGAUUGUUAUAAUCAACAAUUUUUUACAAAACUGAAGUCAUUUAAAUGCUGGUAGAUAUUGAGGUUUUCCAUACACGGCCCGAGAACACCCAUCAGGCAGACCGUAUUGGUUGCCCAGUGCAAGAUAAUUUAAUUUCUAUUUUUAAUCCUGGAGAAAGUUGCAGCCGUUAUAUUACCCAAUGUUUUUUGUUUAGGGCUGUGACGCAAAUGUUAAGUAAUCAAUUACUAAUUGCAGUGGCUUAUUAGGAUCAUUAUAGCAUGCACCAGCACGGUUCCCAGUCUAUCAGGGAAAAUUAUCUUACUUUUUUCCAGCCAGGGAAAAAUCAGGGAAUUUUAUUUCAAAAUACCUCAAAUCAGGGGAAAAUGCCUCAAAUGAGGGAAAAAUAAGGAAAUAUUGAUCAGCCCAAAAGUUGAAAGUACAGUAGUUUUUCAGACUAAGUCAUAUUUGGAUUUUGUUGCAUAUCAAAACAACGUCCAUUGAAUGACUGGUUAUGGUGGUACUAAUUAGUUUUGCAUUGUUG